RNAcentral lists this long non-coding RNA (2172 nucleotides) under Salmo salar (Atlantic salmon). Its description in RNAcentral is "lncRNA (ENSSSAG00000107553.1)". The record is from RNAcentral. Lineage: Eukaryota; Metazoa; Chordata; Actinopteri; Salmoniformes; Salmonidae.
AGAAGAGGUGAGUAAGAGGCGGAGGGAAGAUUGGAAUCAUCUUGAUUAGAUUAUUUAAAAAAAAAAAAGUAGAGAUCAGAUAAAACAUUUUACAGCAAGUGCAAACGUUUAAUGAAACAACUACGACACAGACAUUCAGUGAUUAGGCAUAUGUGUUAAAGCAGCAGCAGUCUUUCUCGCUCUCUCUCUUCGUCUCUCUUUCUCUCCCCCCGUCUUUCUCUUCGUCUCGCUCUCUGUCUCCAUCUUUCUCUCCGUCUCUCUCUCUCUCCUCCCCCCCUACUUCUUUAUAUUGCCUACAAACAUUUCAUAAAAUGUUCAAGCCUUAGCAGUGAGAUGACAGCAGAGGGAAGGGAAUUUCCUUGCUAUUUUUUUUCUCCUGGACACAAAUUAAGCCUAGUCCUGGACAAAACAGCACUCUCCAUGGAAUAUGCUUCUUAAUAUAGGAUAGGAUUAAUCUGUGUCUAGGAAACCGUCCCUCAGGGUUCUUUCAGGGUCUUUUAUCUAAGACUAAGUGGUUUAUAACAAAGAACUUGUAACAUGACUCUGACUGACUUAUAGCAGACCCCAGGUCACUAUUGGCACUACAAAUACAUACAAUUACACACACAUACUGUAUACAACACAAUGCUGCCUUGGAAUGUGAACAUACAUGAAUUAUAUAGCUACAACAUUCUCUUGAUCAAAUAAAAGCACAGUGAUUCGGAUAUUGCAAUACUGUAAAGCUAGAAUGUGUAACAUUCACUGGCAAAUGUGAUGUUCUGGGUUAUUUCAUAAUACUUCUCCUGAAUUAUAAAAUCAACCCUCAAAUAUAUUUAUGAUUAAAACAUUUAAAACUUCUUCAUUUGGGACAGAAUGAACAUAUAAUCAUUAAACAAAUUGUGCACAAGUAUUGGAAUACAUAAGGCAAAAAUGUAACAUAUAAAAACAGGAUAAUAGAAGGAAUUGAUGAGUUAAAACAUUGUUUUUUUAAAGCAUCAUUAAAAUAAUUUCAGGAAUCAGUAAUCAUUUCAUUUGGAUUGUAAACAUCCAUGAUGGUACGUAAAGUCAUCACGUUAAGUUGUUGAUAUCUUUGGAAUGAAACCACUUAAAAACAAAUAAAAAUAUAAAAAAUUACUCUGAGAACAAUUCCUUUUUUGAGUAAAUAACUUAAGUGUUUAGAGUUGUUCUAACCGGUUAACAGUUGAAACUGUUCCGGAUUUCUGCUGCUUUUGUGGUGCUCUGGGGUUGGUUGAUAAAAAUGCAUAAUCAAACAUUAAAAGAAACAUCAAAACAUCAAUGUGAUUGAAGCUAAAUGCCUUUUGUGACUUAAGUUAAUAAAAUGUAAGUGCUUUGGUAACAUACACUGAUGUACAAAACAUGAAGGACACCUGCUCUUUCCUUCACAGACUGACCAGGUGAAUCCAGGUGAGAGCUAUGAUCCCUUAUUGAUGUCACUUGUUAAAUCCACUUCAUUCAGUGUACAUGAAGGGGACAUUAAGCCUCAAGACAAUUGAGACAUGGAUUGUUUGUGUGCCAUUCAGAGGGUGAAGGGGCAAGACAAAUAUUUAAUUUCCUUUGAACGGGGUGUUAAGGAGUGCGACGCUGCUGGGUUUUUCCACACUCAACAGUUUCCUGUGUGUAUCAAGAAUGGUCCACCACCCAAAGGACAUCCAGACAACUUGACACAACUGUGGGAAGCAUUGAAGUCAACAUGGGCCAGCAUCCCUGUGGAACGCUUUCAACACCUUCUAAUCCAUGCCCCUGACAAAUUUAGGCUGUUCUGAGGGCAAAAUGGGGGGUGCAACUCAAUAGUUGGAAUGUAUUCUUAAUGUUUUGUGCAGUCAGUGUAUAUUUCUAUAUUUCAUAGUUGCUUUCAUAUCAAAUAUCUAUUUCAGCCAAACAAUCUUAAAUAAAAUGUUCUCAUGACUCUGGAUUUAGGAAUCUUCUCUUUCCAGAGCCUUCAUAGCACAGUAGUAACACAUUGAUUGGAGGAAUUGAAUUUACAGAUGAAUUGGGGUAUUGUUGGGAUGAUAUGUAAAUGUAAGCAAUUCUUCAGUGGUGGCCCCAUUGCUCAUAAGCUGAAUAAAAAUAUAAAACAAACUGAACUGAAGAAGUGAUAGUAAAAGGAACAUUGCACUGGGGGAAAGCGAGGCCAUCCUCUCAUCUAAUUGGUCUCCUCUACCAAAUCGUACC